AAGAAAAGCCCAGAGUUCAAAAUCAGGGCUGGGUCUGCUGUCUGUGGUGUGGGCUCUUCCCAUUCUGCCCAUUUACAAAGGGGACUGGUUGAUGAAACUUUAGCUUAUCUCAAUGGAACGUAUUGUUGAUGGAAUUUCAGGCAGCGCUGAGUCUAACAGCAGGUGAAAUAUAAUCAACCCUGCUGGGGUAGCUGGGAAAGCCUUCAUAUGAGAGGUGACGUGGGAGCUGAGUUUUGAAGCAUGAAUGGGAGUUUUCCAGGUGAGAUAGGAAAAGGCCAUUCCAAGUAAAAGGAGAAAAUAGCCAAAGAUAUGCAGGUUUAAAAAAUCAGGAAGAAUUUCCUGGGAAAUGGUGCAAUGUGUAUGAGGAUGGGGCUGUGGAAAAGUCAGGAGGCUGCAGAGACAGAUACGGUUCUGACCAUAUCACGGAGGGGAUGAAGGGCUGUGGGAAAAUCAAGAGCAGGGAAGCAAUAAAGUGAGGUUUGCGGCUCAGGAAGAUGAUCAGGGAAGCCAUGGGGCAGAGGAUGGAUUGGAGGGAAUGUGGCUCAGGGCAGAGGCGCGGGUGGAUGAGCUCAUUGCAGCAGCACUCUUGAGAGAUGCCAGCAGUGGGGGGUCAAGAGGAGAGGCUGGAAGACUGUAAGGGAGUGUGGUAGGGGUUAGAGGGAAGGAAAGGGACCUAGCUUGCAAAUGUUCACCAUGACCCUGUGAAAGAGGCAUUAUCGCCCGCUUUUACAGAUAAGACAGCAGAGACACAUACAAAAAUUCGGUAACAAAGCCUCACAAGUCCUACCAGUCUACGGGACUCCACAGUCAGCUCUGUUGCCCCUAACUCCUAGGGAAGGGGGAAAAAGCGUCCAUUAAUCUCAGAAGACCAGAGUUUCACCCUGGGGUCCUGGGCAAAUAGCAAUAUUGACAGACAUCACUGCUGCUUCCCAAUAUCCUGCCUCCUUUUUUGUGGGCAGGUGCGGGCACGUGACUAGUUCUGGCCAAUGCGUUGAGAGUGAAGCUGACAGAUGACACUUCUGGGCUGGCACAUGUGCCAGCUGAUGUGAGGCCCUUCAGCUCUCCAUUUUGCUUUGUUGCACAAGGAAACACGAGUUGAGAUGCAGACUUCAUCAGCUUGGGAACUUCAGUGACGGGGCUGAGCAGGAGCCACCUGCCUACCCACGUUGCUGCCGAGUAUGAGUGGGAAAUAAUUCCCGGUUGUUUUAGGCCAUGGCCACUUAGUCACCUGUUCUUGCAGCAGAGCCUGCUGCAUACUGACUGAUAUGGUGAUGUGGGUCCUUGAGCAAGGGCAUAAAGGAGGAGGAGCAGGCUGAGGGCAGGGGUGGAAAAAAUGGAUUUGGCAAGACUGAGUUGGGGCAUAACAUUUUAGUACAAGGAAAUCAGGCUUUGGAGGUUAGCAAGCCUGGGUCCAAUGCCACCUCAGGCACCCACUAUCUGAGGGCAAAGGCUCCUGGCUUUUCUGGCCUCAGUUUCCUGAGCAAUAGGGAGAGUUGUAAUCACUACCCCCUUGGCCUUUAGGGUGAGUAGAGCUGACACAUACAGAGCUCCAGCAAGGUACCCAGGCCCUAGGAAGCACUCAGCAAACACAAUCAUCACCCUGGGAAGAUGGCGAGAAGAGAGUGGGCAAUUUGUGCACCGAAAGAAUAGGCUGCUUUUUUUUUUUUUUUUUUUUUUUUUUGAGACAGUUUCAGUCUGUCGCCCAUGCUGGAGUGCAGUGGUGCGAUCUCCACCCACUGCAACCUCUGACUCCUGGGUUCAAGUGAUUCUCCUGCCUCAGCCUCCAGAGUAGCUGAGAUUACAGGCACCUGCCACCAUGCCUGGCUAAUUUUUUGCAUUUUUAGUAGAGAUGAGGUUUCAUCAUAUUGGCCAGGCUGCUCUUGAAGUCCUGACCUCAAGUGAUCCAACCACCUCGGCCUCCCAAAGUGCUGGGAAUACAGGUGUGAGCCACUGCACCCAGUCAGAAUGGACAUAAUUUCUAUCAUAUUCACUUGAAUUUGCCUAGUACAGAGAAUGGUGCCUGGGCACAAUAGGUGUUCAUUUUAUAUUCACUGGAUACCAGAUCUGUGGGGGCAUUUCUCCCUGACAUAUUGAUACCAAGCCCAGCCUUGAUUUUCCAGGGGAUGCCCCACUCCUUAUUGCAAAGUCUCUGUUCUGACCUCUGGUAUCCCCUCAGGGACCCUUCAGGCCAUGAGUUCAAAUGCCUGGGAAGCCCACCUCACAGGAGCCUCAAGUCCCAUCCGUCUUGUUCCCAAGUCUGGCAGGAUCCUGACAGCCCCAUGCAUGUGCCUGUCCUCAGACCCCUGCAGAGGGCUGGGUGCAGACCUUGGCAGGAGUAGGCUGGCAGGCAGUCUCUUUCCUUCCCAGGCAGACGUGUGUGUAGCAAGUCUGUUUAUCAGGCAACGCCUUGUAGCCAGCGGUGGCGGCUUAACAGUGGCAGAAACGCCCGCAUUGCCUCACCAGCUGCUGGGUACUAAGAUGCGCCCUUGGCCUCAGCUGGCAGAUAAGCACCUGCAUUGGAGAGGGAACCCUUGAUCAUGGGCUGAUAAGUGCAGGGAAGAAACAACAACAACAACAAGAAAAAGCUGAGCAACCCGCUGUGGAAGGCUUUUUCAUGUACGCAUGGGCGUGUUUCUUGUCUUCGCCAACACAGAGGUGAUGCAAAAGCUCUGAUUCUAAUUUAAUUUGGUGGUCACGCAAUCAUGGAAUGAGAGCAUGUCAGAGCUGGAAGGGACUCUGGGGAUUGUCUGGUUGAACUCUUUAAUCUUCCAGGUGAGGACAGUGAGGGCCACAGAGCUGUACCGACUUGUUCAGGAUCAUCCAGCAAAGUUUUGGUGGAGCUGGAACUAAACCCGAGGGUCUCGAGACCCUUGGGCCUGCGAUCUUUCCAUCAUAUGGGAUUGCUUCACAGGCUGCCACCUGAUCGCUUAGGUGUAGACCGCAGGUUGCCCUUUGGUGCCUUAACAGUCCUCUUUAAUAUCACUAAUUGGCCCUGUCUGCCUGCAGAGUCAGAUAGAUGCCCCCUGUCCCUGCUUCUCCCCCACCACAUGCCAGCUAUUGGGGUUGACCAGUUAGCUCAAGGCCACAGGGUCUGAUGCUACUGUUUCAAACACUGUUAUUUCAUAUUUUGAAAAAGCAAGGUUCAGAUAAGAGAGGCAACUUGCCUAGGUGAUACAGCUAGAGAAAGUGAAAGACCUGGGUCUAAAAUUUUCAGGUUCCUCAUUUCAGUUCUUUCCAUACAUAGUGUAUGAAACCCAGGUGUGGGUGAAGGUGGGCAGAAGGGCACCCGGCCUCUGCAACUUUCCCCUGUGACCUGGUUUUGGGGAAGAGUUGCACAUGUUUCCUCAAGGACAGAAAUGGAGUCUGGCAAGACUUUGUAUUGAAAAUCUUGUUCUCAGUAGGGGCCUCCUAAGCAAUGGGUAUAGAUAAAUGAAUGAAUCCUUUUUUUUUGUUUGUUUUUUUGAGACGGAGUCUUACUCCAUUGCCCAGGCUGGGGUGUGAUGAUCCGAUCUCAGCUCACUGCAACCUCCAUCUCCUGGGUUCAAGCAAUUCUCCUGUCUCAGCUUCCCCAGUAGCUGGGACCACAGGCGUGUGCCACCAUGCCUAGCUAAGUUUUAUAUUUUUUUUAGUAGAGAGGGGUUUUCACCAUGUUGGCCGGGCUGGUCUCGAACUCCUGACUUUAGGUGAUCUGGCCACCUUGGCCUCCCAAAGUGCUGGGAUUACAGGCGUGAGUCACUGUGCCUGUUUUUUUUUUUUUUUUUUUUUUUUUUAGAAGGAGUCUCACUCAGUUGCCCAGGCUGGAGUACAGUGGCACUAUUUCAGCUCACUGCAAACUCCAUCUCCUGGGUUCAAGCCAUUCUCCUGCCUCAGCCUCCCGAGUAGCUGGGAUUAUAGGCGCCCACCACCAAACCUGGCUAAUCUUGUAUUUUUAGUAGAGAUGGGGUUUCGCCAUGUUGGCCAGGCCGGUCUCGAACUCCUGACCUUAGGCGAUCUGCCCGUCUCAGCCAUCCUAAGUGCUGGGAUUACAGGUGUAAGCCACUGCGCCCAGCUGAUAAAUGAGUGAAUGGUAGGGUUUUGGUGGAAUAUUCAUACUGCAAAAAGUGUUUUCAAACUGUAGGCUACUUAUUUUUCUCUGUGAAACUUGCUUUCUAGGUUUGAUCUGUGAAUGGGGUGAAACAGAGAAAUCUAGAUUUGAGUUUAAAAUUGCUUCUACAUCAAAGAAAGUCAUGAACAACAGCAACAACAAACUAGUAUCACCUCAAGAGUCAUCAAUAUAAUUGUUACGCUCAAUUUCAGUUACUUGCGUGUCCCGCUGGAACUCUAUCAACUGCAAUAGAGAGGCACCAGGAUCAAGAGGCCAAAGAAGAGACCCAGAGCUAGCAAAAGAGGCAUAGGGUUUUAUUAGCGGGAACUUACCUCCUGAGUGGUCCCAUGGUGGCGGGUGAGGUAGAAGAACUGCAACCUCUUGCGAAAGGCAUGCAGUUUAUAUAGCAUUUUCUCUCAGCACCCUCCCACUAACAACCUCCACCUGGCGAACUUUAGCCGACCCUCAAAACUGAGGCUUCAAUCCCUUUCAUGGCCCGCAUUCCAAGGGACAGGUGGGGGGUUCAGGUGUUCCUCAUAGAUAAGGAAUGAAUUU
RNAcentral lists this long non-coding RNA (4639 nucleotides) under Homo sapiens (human). RNAcentral describes it as "HSALNT0215649". Lineage: Eukaryota; Metazoa; Chordata; Mammalia; Primates; Hominidae. The record is from RNAcentral.